ACUCGGGUUGCACUGGAUGUGGCUGCUGUGAUCUGACCCAUGGGUAUCAGCUGUAGUGUUUGAGGUCUUUAAGUCUUAAGACUCAAGUCAGAGUUCCGUGACAGAUACACCAUUUGUGCGUGUAGGUGGAAUAUCUACAGCGGCACUAAAGAAGGUACUCCGUAGGAUUGUAGUUCCCUACUAGAGGAGGGAGGAGCUGGACCUGGUUUUGAAGCGUCCGCCGCUCUGUAGGUCCACAGACUAGUUAGUGGAAAGCACACAUCUCAGGUCGAACAAGGAGGGAAAGAGCUGGAAUCACAGAGGAGACCCCUGAAUGACCUUAGGGAUCUGGACUUCCGGGCUGGUGACUGGCCUCUACCUUUGAGUCCGUGGCGUCCACUAGAGAUGACAUUCGAGGCGGCUCCCGGCGUGAGGCUGUCUCCACUCUUUCUCCCUUUGUGACUGCUGUUUGUUAGAAGUUCCCUCACCUUGUUUUCCUCACAUAUACUCACUUCUGUGCCCAACCCACAGUAGUCGCUCCUAAUGCACUCCCUGGAAAGACAAAAAUGAGGAGCCUGAAGGAGGUUCAGCUGGUGAAGGUGCUUGGUUGUCCAAGCUUGAACGCCUGCCUGAGUUUGAUCCCUGGAACCCAUGUAA
Molecule: long non-coding RNA, 636 nt
Filed under: Mus pahari (shrew mouse)
Lineage: Eukaryota; Metazoa; Chordata; Mammalia; Rodentia; Muridae
Description: lncRNA (MGP_PahariEiJ_G0012055.1)
Source: RNAcentral